ACGUAGGGGGCAAGCGUUGUCCGGAUUUACUGGGUGUAAAGGGUGCUCAGGUGGAUUUAUAAGUCAGAGGUGAAAAUCCGAAGCUUAACUUCGGAACUGCCUUUGAUACUGUAAGUCUAGAGUUUGAGAGAGGGCAAUGGAAUAUCUGGUGUAGCAGUGAAAUGCGUAGAUAUCAGAUAGAACACCAAUGGCGAAGGCAGUUGCCUGGCUCAAUACUGACACUAAAGCACGAAAGUGUGGGGAGCAAACAGG
RNAcentral lists this ribosomal RNA (252 nucleotides) under uncultured bacterium. Its description in RNAcentral is "partial 16S ribosomal RNA". It matches the Rfam family "Bacterial small subunit ribosomal RNA", at positions 525 to 776 of the family's 1533-position model. The record is from RNAcentral.